RNAcentral lists this ribosomal RNA (400 nucleotides) under phytoplankton environmental sample. Its description in RNAcentral is "partial small subunit ribosomal RNA". It matches the Rfam family "Eukaryotic small subunit ribosomal RNA", at positions 587 to 988 of the family's 1831-position model. The record is from RNAcentral.
AGCUCCAAUAGCGUAUAUUAACGUUGUUGCAGUUAAAAAGCUCGUAGUUGGAUUUCUGGCGGUCCUGGCCUUCAUUUCCUCACGGAUCUCGAGUGGCGAGGGCCCGCCAUCUUUGCGGAGAGCGCGUGUGGCAUUCAUUUGUCGUGCGCGGGAUCCGCAUCGUUUACUGUGAAAAAAUUAGAGUGUUUAAAGCAGGCGUUUCGCUUCUGAAUACAUUAGCAUGGAAUAAUGAGAAAGGACCUUGCGUGCUAUUUUGUUGGUUUGUACACCGAGGUAAUGAUUAACAGGGACAGUUGGGGGUAUUCGUAUUUGAUUGUCAGAGGUGAAAUUCUUGGAUUUAUUAAAGACGAACGACUGCGAAAGCAUUUACCAAGGAUGUUUUCAUUAAUCAAGAACGAAA